Molecule: long non-coding RNA, 363 nt
Organism: Helianthus annuus (common sunflower)
Lineage: Eukaryota; Viridiplantae; Streptophyta; Magnoliopsida; Asterales; Asteraceae
Exons: 5
Source: RefSeq, a predicted model, not a curated record
ACAUCUAGGGUUUCCCCAACUUCUCUCUCGCAUCUCAAUGGAUCUUCAUCUCCACGCUUCAAAUCAAGGGUGUGUUUGAUAAUUUCCGCUCUUCCGUCCAAUCCAUCUGCCUCAUUGAUUCGAUUCAGUAUUCUUCACUCAAAAGCUUUCAUGAUACAGGUCCACUCUGAUUGAAUCAUAACUUGGUCUUAAAAGUUGGAGUUCAUAUCAAGGCUUCAAAUCAAGGGUUUGUUGAUCUUCGAUUUGUUUUCUUUUCUGACAAAUAAAUGUCGUCUGCACAAAGAUCUGAUUUUUGCAAUCUCCUUAUUGCCCUUUGGUUCAAGCAAAUCCAUUCGAAAGGAUCCAAACAUCAGGUAACCAAUA